RNAcentral lists this ribosomal RNA (577 nucleotides) under uncultured bacterium. RNAcentral's name for it is "bacterial SSU rRNA". It matches the Rfam family "Bacterial small subunit ribosomal RNA", at positions 338 to 916 of the family's 1533-position model. The record is from RNAcentral.
CCUACGGGAGGCAGCAGUAAGGAAUAUUGGUCAAUGGACGGAAGUCUGAACCAGCCAUGCCGCGUGCAGGAUGACGGCCCUCUGGGUUGUAAACUGCUUUUAUAGGGGACGAAAAAAAGGGGAUUCUUCCUCACUUGACGGUACCCUAGGAAUAAGCACCGGCUAACUCCGUGCCAGCAGCCGCGGUAAUACGGAGGGUGCAAGCGUUAUCCGGAUUUACUGGGUUUAAAGGGUGCGUAGGUGGGUCGGUAAGUCAGCGGUGAAAUCUUCGAGCUUAACUCGGAAACUGCCAUUGAUACUAUCGAUCUUGAAUCGUCUAGAGGUAAGCGGAAUAUGUCAUGUAGCGGUGAAAUGCUUAGAUAUGACAUAGAACACCAAUUGCGAAGGCAGCUUACUAUGGAUGUAUUGACACUGAGGCACGAAAGCGUGGGGAUCAAACAGGAUUAGAUACCCUGGUAGUCCACGCCCUAAACGAUGGAUACUCGACAUUUGAGAUAUACUUUAAGUGUCUGAGCGAAAGCAUUAAGUAUCCCACCUGGAAGUACGAUCGCAGAUUGAAACUCAAAGGAAUUGACGG